UUGUUUUUGUUACGACAAUUUACAUUCAUCACGUUGGGUUUUUGGUGUUUUGCGCUGGGGGCCCGAGAGCCCCAAGACAUACAAACAAUUCACGGUGUGUGUGGAAUAGACACGGCCAGAGGCCAAUCUCUAAUGAUCCUUCCGCAGGUUCACCUACGGAAA
RNAcentral lists this unclassified non-coding RNA (162 nucleotides) under uncultured fungus. Its description in RNAcentral is "sequence contains ITS1". The record is from RNAcentral. Lineage: Eukaryota; Fungi.